Molecule: transfer RNA, 77 nt
Filed under: Alphaproteobacteria bacterium
Lineage: Bacteria; Pseudomonadati; Pseudomonadota; Alphaproteobacteria
Also listed under: 2 other names
Description: tRNA-Pro
Rfam family: tRNA
About the family: Transfer RNA (tRNA) molecules are approximately 80 nucleotides in length. Their secondary structure includes four short double-helical elements and three loops (D, anti-codon, and T loops).
Source: RNAcentral
CGGGGCGUGGCGCAGUCUGGUAGCGCACCUCGUUUGGGACGAGGGGGUCGGAGGUUCGAAUCCUCUCGCCCCGACCA